RNAcentral lists this long non-coding RNA (18656 nucleotides) under Cicer arietinum (chickpea). Its description in RNAcentral is "long non-coding RNA (CARI_LNC003044)". The record is from RNAcentral. Lineage: Eukaryota; Viridiplantae; Streptophyta; Magnoliopsida; Fabales; Fabaceae.
GGAAACACAAAAAGACACAAAGACUUGAGUUGUGAGCUUAAUACUCAGUUGCAUGCGAAUCUGAAAAAAUUAAACACCAUGAAGGGGUAAGUCACAAAGACUUAGUGAGGAGACAACAACAACCAUCAACUAGAAGGGAAACACAAAAAGGAACGAAUAACUUUUUUACAAUCUUGUGGCGAUUAUGUUAUACACAUAAUAAAAUCAUUAAACUUAUAAUUUAGUUGUUUAGAUAGAAAUAUUAAAAAUUCAAUUAAUAGCGAAGCGAAAUCAAAAUGAAUAAACUUAAAAUCAUCAUAAAAAUCAAACAAGUAAAAAUACAAAUUUUUGAGAACCAAGAGGUGGCUUCAUCUCAUUUAUAGCCCUUUCCUCCUAAGGGUGGCCUUUCCCUUAGGGGUAGCUCCAUCUAACGGAUAGCCCUCUCCUCUCAAUCCCGCAACGCAUCAUCACACAUCAAUCAGGGAGCUUACAUCUCGUUGAUAGCUCUCUCCUCCUAUGAAUGACAUUUUUCAUAGGGGCGGCUCCAUCUAACGGGUAACUCUCCUUAAUCAAAACGAGUUAACUAGGUGCACCUACUGCCAUUAACGAUUUCACAAUUUUAACAACGAUUUUCACAACACAUAUUUAAAACCCAUAAAUAAAUCAAACUACAAACAUAUCACAUAACAAAGACCAUAAAAAUAAUUAAGGAUAAAAUCGAGAAAAUAUCAAAGGUUGUGUUCCCCAAUUUUUUAAUAAAUAUUUUAAUAUAGAAAUUAUAGUAUUAUAAAAUAUAUGACAUGAUCGUCGUCUACUCACAACUAUGAAGAGUCGACUACGUUUGUUCUCCAACAACUCCCAGAAUAGCCGGCAGGACCUCAGCUAACAAAUCUGAGUAUCAAAAAUAUUCUCAAAACUUUAGAAAAAUUAUUCUAAAGUUUAGCUAAUUCUAAGAAACCAUAAAAAUCAUUUAAAUCUACUCUAGGCACAAAAUAAGAUUUUUAAACAAAACUACAUUUUUCUAGAGAUUCAUAUUAGCAUUAGAGUUGUGUAUUUAUUUCAAAUAGUCUCAAUAAAUAACUCUCAAGAAAUGCGUACCAUUCUCCUUCCUUAGAACACAAACCCUAACCAAAAAUCCUAAACAAGAGAAUUUGUAAGAGUAUGACAAAUUAUAUUCUUGAGGAUAUUAUAUUUAUUAUAAGGGUUGAAGGUUUACGUGUUGUAGAUGAGAAGAAACAAGGAGAAAAAAAGAAGAAAAAAAGACAAAAAAAAAAAAAAAUGGGAGAAGGGGUUGUCUUGGCCAAGAGAGAGAAGAAAGAGGAGAAGAAUGAGAGAGUGAGAUAGAGAGAGAAUGAGAGUGGAUGGUUGAUGUGUUUUAUUUAUUUAUUUAUUUAUUAUUAUUAUUAAUUAAUUAAUUAAUUACUAUUAUAUAUUUUUUUAAAUGACACGUGGCGUGUCAAAACCCUUAAGCCACGAGAACCUCAUUUAUGAGGUUUUUUUUUUUGAGUACCCUCUUUCUGAAAAAAAAAAUUCACAAAUGCCCGCUUUUGAAAACUAUAUACCUAAAUGCCCCCCUUUUUUUUUACUUACAAGUCGCCAUUUGGAAUGGCAACUUCCUUAAGGAAGCCCAAGUUCCAAAUGGCGACUUCCCACUUGAUUUUUUUUUAAAAAAAAAAUUCAAUUUUUUUUUUAAUUUUUAAUAGAUAACAUAAAUAUUAUAUAUAUAAUUAAUUAACAUAGAAAUUUUAAAUUAAAAAAUAUUUUACCAGAUGGAUUCCCCUCUUUAGCACUCACACAAUAAAUGCGUCCUCUAGCAGUAGGACGGGUAGCUCUAGCUACAUUCACAACUGGUUCCACCUUUGGAGCCGUGCAAUCCUUCGCCAUGUGUCCUGGAUUCUGACAAGUGUAGCAGGUGAGAGUGUUAGGGGUACAAGCGUUAGCAUAAUGUUCCUCUUCCCCACAACGGAAACAUCGGACCACUCGUCCCAGUUGUCUCCUGAAAUUCUGGUUCCCCGGGCGAUUCUUCCCACCGUUGUUAGUUCGUGGUCGAUCAUAGGGUUUAGCAACUUGUUUCCCCUUGUUGUUCUGGUAAUUCACCCGACUAGGCCCUCCUGUACCAAAAUUCCCUCCUCGGCUAGCUCUCUUAUUCUUCAUAUCCUCAACUUCCCUAAACUUUUCCACAAGGGCUUGGAAAUGUUGGAUUCCCAAGGGUAAGACGGAGUCUUGAAUCUCAUACUUCAGUCCGUCUUGGAAACGAUGACACAUGAAUGGUUCAUCAAUUUCUUCACGGAAGAACCUGAAAUGCCUCGAUAGCGAUUCAAGCUUAGCAGCAUAUUCGCCCACGGUCAUGCUCCUCUGGUGAAGUUUCAGAAAGUCGUCACCCAGUUUAGUCCUGGUACUCAUCGGGAAGUAUUUGUCUAAAAACUUCCUUUUAAAUGAUUCCCAGUUCACCUCCUCGUGGGCUGCUCCCAUCAAUAACCUUGCACUCCUCCACCAGUACUCAGCAUCCCCCAACAGCAUAUAAGUGGCAUAGCUGACCUUCACCCCCGCCUGACACUUUAUCAUAUCAAAGAUCUUCUCCACUUCUUGGAUCCAUUGAUCCGCCUUCUCUGAACCCUCAUCCCCUUUGAACUUAGGAGGAUUGUAACGACGGAAGUCUUCUAACCCUCUUGACUCUGCAGCACGGAUCUCUCUCCCCCUCUUUUCAAGACCCCGUUGAGUCUUGGCAGCAGUCUGUGCAGCCACAGAAGCAGCCAUGUUAUUCAUAGCCUCCGCCAUUUGAUCAUUCCUAUUAGCGUUGUCUCUCGGAGCGUCAUUCCUUCUUGGCGGCAUGGUUUCCUAUAAAACCAUCAUCAAGUAGAGUCUUAACACUACUUCAAAAUAUUCCCAAACUCACGUCCGACUAUAACAACACAUAAUAAUCAUAUUGGACUUGACAACUCAAGUCACCUAAACCGACACAUGAUCAGAUGACAACUCCCAACUUAAAGGUCGACCUACAAUCCUAGAAUCUAUAACCAAGGUUCCACAGCUCCCAAAGAAAACCAAACCAAAGCUCUGAUACCACAUUGUAACGCCCCGUUUUUCAAAAGAAAUUAAACUGAAACAGAGAAAUAAACAAAAAAAUGUCUUUGGAUAAAUAAUUGAGUCAUUAUAAUUUACAAGCAGCGGAAAAGUUUCUCCAAAUAUAAAUCCAAAGCAUUUACACAACAACAAAUGGUACAUGGGAUCCAUUCUUAAUAUGAUGUCAAACUGACAAUAUUAGUAUAGUACAGUUUUUCCAAAUCAAAAUAGACACCUAGUUCCUAUACAUCAUCCUAAUCUGAUCAUCCUACCAAAAAGCUAUACACCCUGAGUAUCUCCACGCGCCCCGUGAGAUCCUCCUAAUGUAACUGCAAUCACGCGUUCCCAUCUCCAUUCCCGUUCGUAGGGUACGAACCGGUAGGAUCGUCCUGACUCUCAUCUAAGGGCAAAGCCCAGAUUUCCACAAUAAUUGUAAAGGGUCACCAACUGAAAUUAACAGAUAACACAUAACAUUUAAGUUUUAAAUGCACAAAAUAACCUUUCAACUAAGCAUGCACCUUAAAAGGAUUUUCCAUAUGCUAAAAGUUCAUAUAAUGCUUGCCAAUUAACAAUGAACUCAAAAUGAAGUUCUCAAACCAUCAAGUAACAAUAAACUCAAAAUGAAGUUCUCAAACCAUCAAGUAAUACAUAACUGACCAAAGCAUUGAUAAAUCAAUUGAGCAAUCGAUUAUCUAACUCAAAAUAAGGACUUUUGUUGAGCCAAUCGAUUGCCAAAUCAAUUUGGUCAGUUCUGCUGAGUUUCUGCAUGACCAAAUCGAUUUCUAAGUCGAUUUUGUCAGUUCUGAUGAGUCCCUGUGUUGCCAAAUCGAUUUCCAAAUCGAUUUGGGCAGUUUUGCUGAGUUCCUGCCUCUCUGCCAAUCGAUUUCCAAAUCGAUUUCUUAAAAGAUUUUGAAAGACAUAUUUAUACAAUCGAUUGGCAAAUCGAUUAGGUCAAAAUGGUGAACUUCCUGCAACUCAUCCAAUCGAUUGGGAAAUCGAUUUCCCUCAUCAUUUUUCCAAAAAUUCAUAACUAACUCAAUCACAUUCAUACAUAAUCUCAAAUCCUAACACUUAGCACUGAUAACGCAAUCGCUACAACAUCAUUAGUUUCGAAAUAGUAUUGCAAGCAAACAUGUUAUCACCAAAUUCCAAAACAUAACACUUAACAUUUAUAACACAAUUAAUACAACAUCAUGGGUUUCAAAAUGGUAUAGCAAUCCAACAUGUUAUCACCAAAUUCCAAAACAUAACACUUAACAUUUAUAACACAAUCAAUACAACAUCAUGGGUUUCAAAAUGGUAUAGCAAUCCAACAUGUUAUCACCAAAUUCCAAAACAUAACACUUAUAACACAAUUACUACACAUACCAAAUGAACCAACAAUUCACAAUUUAACAGGGUGUAGUCUCUCACGGACAAACACCUGUGCAGUCUCUCACGGACAAACACAAUUCCCUCAGGAACGUAACUCGUAAACGUACCACCUAUCACGGGUCAGUACUGUUUACCGAGGUGCCACCUAUCCCGGGUCUGCACAACUUACCAAACGUAAAUCGUAAACGUACUGUCUAUCACGGACCCGUACCGUUUACCAAGGUGCCACCUAUCACGGGUCUGCACGAUUUACCAAAACAUACAUAAGUAAACGAGACAUUAAGAGAUUCCCCAUUCUUAAUUCUCAUCUAACUUAAACCAGGGCGUAGUCUCUCACGGACAAACCCCUGCGCAGUCUCUCACGGACAAACGCAAUUCCCGCAGGAACGUAAAUUGUAAACGUACUACCUAUCCCGGGUCCGUACUGUUUACCGAGGUGCCACCUAUCCCGGGUCAGCACAACUUACCAAAACAUACACGAGUAAACGAGACAUUAAGAGAUUCCCCAUUCUUAAUUCUCAUCUAACUUAAACCAGGGCGUAGUCUCUCACGGACAAACCCCUGCGCAGUCUCUCACGGACAAACGCAAUUCCCGCAGGAACGUAAGUCGUAAACGUACUACCUAUCACGGGUCCGUACCGUUUACCGAGGUGCCACCUAUCCCGGGUCUGCACAACUUACCAAACACAAUUCCCUCAGGAACGUAAGUCGUAAACGUACUACCUAUCACGGGUCCGUACUGUUUACCGAGGUGCCACCUAUCCCGGGUCUGCACAACUUACCAAACACAAUUCCCUCAGGAACGUAAGUCGUAAACGUACUACCUAUCACGGGUCCGUACCGUUUACCGAGGUGCCACCUAUCCCGGGUCAGCACAACUUACCAAAACAUACACGAGUAAACGAGACAUUAAGAGAUUCCCCAUUCUUAAUUCUCAUCUAACUUAAACCAGGGCGUAGUCUCUCACGGACAAACCCCUACGCAGUCUCUCACGGACAAACGCAAUUCCCGCAGGAACGUAAGUCGUAAACGUACUACCUAUCACGGGUCCGUACCGUUUACCGAGGUGCCACCUAUCCCGGGUCAGCACAACUUACCAAAACAUACACGAGUAAACAAGACAUUAAGAGAUUCCCCAUUCUUAACGCCCAGUUAACUUAAACAAUUUUCCAAACAAAAUAAUAAGUAACCGAGACAUUAAGAGAUUCCCCAUUCUUAACGCCCAGUUAACUUAAACGGUUUUCAAAACAAAAUGUUAAGUAACCGAGACAUUAAGAGAUUCCCCAUUCUUAACGCCCAGUUAACUUAAACAAUUUUCCAAACAAAAUAACAAGUAACCGAGACAUUAAGAGAUUCCCCAUUCUCAACGCCCAGUUAACUUAAACAAUUUUCAAAACAAAAUAAUAAGUAACCGAGACAUUAAGAGAUUCCCCAUUCUUAACGCCCAGUUAACUUAAACGAUUUUCAAAACAAAAUAUUAAGUAACCGAGACAUUAAGAGAUUCCCCAUUCUCAACGCCCAGUUAACUUAAACAAUUUUCCAAACAAAAUAAUAAGUAACCGAGACAUUAAGAGAUUCCCCAUUCUUAACGCCCAGUUAACUUAAACGAUUUUUCUUUAAAACAAAAUAUUAAGUAACCGAGACAUUAAGAGAUUCCCCAUUCUUAACGCCCAGUUAACUUAAACGAUUUUUCUUUAAAACAAAAUAUUAAGUAACCGAGACAUUAAGAGAUUCCCCAUUCUUAACGCCCAGUUAACUUAAACGAUUUUCAAAACAAAAUAUUAAGUAACCGAGACAUUAAGAGAUUCCCCAUUCUUAACGCCCAGUUAACUUAAACGAUUUUCAAAACAAAAUAUUAAGUAACCGAGACAUUAAGAGAUUCCCCAUUCUUAACGCCCAGUUAACUUAAACGAUUUUCAAAACAAAAUAUUAAGUAACCGAGACAUUAAGAGAUUCCCCAUUCUUAACGCCCAGUUAACUUAAACGAUUUUUCUUUAAAACAAAAUAUUAAGUAACCGAGACAUUAAGAGAUUCCCCAUUCUUAACGCCCAGUUAACUUAAACGAUUUUUCUUUAAAACAAAAUAUUAAGUAACCGAGACAUUAAGAGAUUCCCCAUUCUUAAUACUCAUUUAACUUAAUGGUUUUCAAAUUCCACACAAAAAAACUCAAACAAAUUCUCACAUUCAAUUCAUAAUUCACACCAAAACACAUCAAUCAACAAACAUCAAGUAUGAACAUGCCAAAUACGAUGAACACAAAUCAACAUAAUAAAUUUCAUUUAUUCAAAAUCUUACAUACAUGAGGUAAAAUCAUUUUUCCCAAAACAAUACUCCAAUCCUAACACAAUUCGUUUCCACACAACCACAGAUAAGGCCCUAGAUGCAAACUAAAAGUUUGGAAGGAGCCCUUACCUUAACGUUAGCUCAAACGUGCGUUUCCGGUACCGUGAGUAAAUCCGGUAAAUUUUCCGCUCGCAACACCGCUUCCAAAACUGGUCCACUAGCGCCGUAGCACGGUAGUGAGCAACUUUCCCUUCUAACUCUUCGCGAAAUGAAGCUUGGAUCUAGAAGAAACGAAGGGGUUUGUGUUUGAAUCUCAAAUACCGUUUUUCUUCGUUUUCGGAUCAAAGAGGAAGAGUGGAGUUGCGAAACCUUUGUUCUAACACUCACCCAACCUUGGGUUACUAGUCUUGAAGAAAAGAAAGCAACGAAAAUGAAAAUGGGAGAAGGAGGGAAAAUGGGUCGCGCACGCAGGGAGAGGAAGAAGAUGAAGUUUUGGAUUUUCUUUCCUUCCUUUUUCCUUUCUUUGUUUUUCCUUCCUUUCUAUUUCCUUCUUUCCUUUAUAUAACCUUUUCUCUUCCUUUUCCUUCCUUCUAAUUUUCUUUCUUUCUAUUCUCUCCAAACAGUUUAUGCAAAUCUACCUUAUGAUAUUUUCUCAUGUUCCUUGGAGGAUGUGGAAUUUCUUGAGGUAGUCCAAAUUGUAGUUUCACUCUAUUAGUUUGAUGCAUUUCUAUUAGGUAGAAACAAAUUAAAUAUGUAGAUGCAUUCCAUAGGCAAUUGUCUUCUGGAUGAUCGUAUGUUAGACCUAGAUAUGGCCUCCAAAUAAACUGAUAUAUAACAAGUUUGUUAGUAAUAUAUGCAUAAGAAAAGUAAAAUAAUAAAAAUAAUGUAAUGUUUUAAUAUAUUACAUCGUUAACGGUCAUGUGAUCAAUUUUUUAUAGAUAUCCAGCGGUAUGAUAACGAGGUGUAUCGCCAAAUUUCAUACCCUUUCCACUAUAUCUACGAAAAUAAAUUUGAAUGUUAGUAAAUAAAUUAAUAUAUUUAUAAAUAUAAUAUUUAACUUUUUUUUAUAUUAACCUUUUUGAGAAUGGAAAAUGAGGCUCAAAAUUACUUAUUGGUGCAAGAAACGGCAUAUGGUACCAUGCCCACGUUUGAAGUAGAUGUGAACAUCCCCGAUCGACAUAACACCGGGUUCAGAUGCACGACACAAUUCUCUAUAAAGUGUUGCCAAGCAUGCUGAACCCCAACUAUAUUGUCCUGUCUCUCGCAAAUCUCUCAACAAGUGCAACCACAUAAUAUGUACUCUGUUGUGAGAUUUGUAAGGCAUUAAUAUGCCGCCAAUCAAUUCUAAAAUGCAUGCUCUACAAUGUGACUUAGAGUUUCUGAGUUUUAUUAUUAUGUAUUUUCUUCAAAGAACACUUACAGGUUUUCUCUGUAUUUCUAGUUUAAGGCUUGGAUACUCAUUAUGGUUUGUUUAAGGUGUUCUGGCUUGGAUACUCACAAUUUUUUUUCAACUGUGAUUAAAAUUUAAUUUUAAUUACAUUGCAUCUAAUCUUAAUAAUUUGGUUUCUAAUUUAAAAUGUAUUCUAUGUGCAGGUUUAUGGCUGAAAUUAAUUUUAUUUGUGAGUUGAAGUGAUAUGGAGUACCAUUGAAGGCUUAAAUCUUGUUAUGUUGAUUUAUGGUCUCAUAAAUUAAUUUUACAUCUUUUUGAUUAUUAAACUCCAAAAUAUUAUUAACUUUGGCUUAAAAACCUCCGAGCCAAAAUCCAAAAUACACCAAAAAUACAUAAAUGGUACUUUAAAAUUAUGGGUCUUACAUUACUCCCCCCCUAAAAUUAGUUUCGUCCUCGAAACUAUGCAUCGAUAAAUAACUCUGGGUGUUGUUCUCUCAUCUUGCUCUCCAAUUCCCAAGUCGCAUCUCCAGUGAUUGGGUUCCAAAUAACCUUGACCAACGAAACAUCCUUGGUCCUCAACCGCUUAAUCUUCCUAUCAUCAAUUCUCACGGGUGGUACUUCGAACGACAGGUUAUCCUUUAGCUGGAUUGCGUCUGGUUCGAUCACGUGAGAUGGAUCUGCGAGAUAUUUCCUCAACUGUGACACAUGAAACACGUCAUGAAUAUUGGACAGUAUCGGAGGUAAUGCAAUGCGAUAAGCCACCGGCCCAAUUCGUGCAGAAAUCUGAUAUGGUCCAAUGAAUUUCGGAGUCAACUUCUUCGAUUUCAAGGCUCUACCUACUCCAGUAGUAGGUGUGACUCUCAGAAAUACAUGGUCACCCUGUUCGAAUUCCAAAAGUCUGCGACGCUUGUCCACGUAACUCUUCUGACGAUCUUGUGAAGUCUUCAUUUUCUCCUUGAUCUUCCUUACUUUAAUUGUGGUAUGUUGCACCAUCUCUGGUCCGACAAUCAUAUUCUCACCGUCUUUAUACCAACACAAGGGCGUUUGACACUUGCGCCCAUAUAAAGCUUCAUAUGGUGCCAUUCCAAUACUUGCGUGGAAACUAUUGUUGUAAGUGAACUCAAUCAACGGAAGUACAUCAUCCCAGCUUCCCCUAUCAUCUAAUACACAUGCUCUCAACAGAUCUUCCAAGGACUGAUUCGUCCUUUCAGUCUGUCCGUCCGUUUGUGGAUGGUAAGCUGAACUCAAUCGUAGCUUCGUUCCCAACGCUUCGUGCAAUGCUCCCCAAAAAUGCGAUGUGAACUUCGGAUCACGGUCUGAUACAAUGCUCGAUGGUACCCCGUGUAACCUCACAAUUUCAGCAAUGUAGAUCUCCGUUAGCUGAUCUACCUUAUAGGUGGUCCUUACCGGCAAAAAGUGAGCAGAUUUAGUCAGCCGGUCCACUAUCACCCAUAUAGAAUCAUUCUUCCUCCUUGUCUUCGGUAAUCCGGUUAUAAAAUCCAUGGAAAUGCUGUCCCACUUCCAUUCAGGUAUAUCUAAAGGUUGCAACAUUCCAGCAGGUCGCUGAUGUUCCACCUUCGCUUUCUGACAAGUUAGACAAGUGGAUACAUAUUCCGCCACAUGUUUCUUCAUUCCUGGCCACCAAUAAUUCUGCCUCAAAUCCUGAUACAUCUUUGUUGCUCCAGGAUGAAUACUCAGCUUACUCUUAUGCGCCUCUUCUAAAAUCGUUUUCCGCAUAUCUGUAAUGGCUGGUACACAAAUCCUACCAUUACACCGCAAAACAUUAUCUGCCCCAAUCUUGAACUCAGUCGUCUUCCCUUGUACUAUUAGAUUCCUCUUCUCUUGAAUUAAGACGUCAUCCUGAGAAUUCGCAAUGUCUUCAAGUAAUCCACUCGAGAUCUUAAUCAUUCCGAAUUUCAAAAUUCCCGGUCCGAACUCUACGUUCAAGUGUAGGUCUCUAAAAGCCUCCUGGUUCGGGGAAAAGAACCAAUUUCCGAGCACAAUCCAAGAUCACAUAGUGAUAAGACAUCCAAUCCAUACCGAGGAUGACCUCGAGUGAUUGUAGCGGUAAACAAAUUAGAUUAACCAAGAAAUCCCUAUUCUGAAUAGUCAUUCGACAAUGUAAACAUGCUGAAUUUACGGUUAAGGUCUUAGCAGGCGUGGAAACAACCAAAUCAAAAGGUAAAGCAGACACAGAUAACUUCAAGCGAUUCACACAGUCCAUAGCAAUGAAGGAAUGGGUUGCCCCCGAAUCAAAGAGUGCAGUUAGAGUGUUACCUGCAAUCUCACAAUCACGCUGAAUCAGAUUACCAGAUGGAUUUCCCUCUUCAGCAUUCACACAAUAAAUGCGUCCUCUAGCAGUAGGACGGGUAGCCCUAGCUACAUUCACCACUGGUUCCACCUUUGGAGCCGUGCACUCCCUUGCCAUGUGCCCCGACUUCUGACAAUUGUGACAGAUGGGGAUGUUAGUGGUACAAGCACUAGCAUAGUGUCCUUCUUUCCCACAUCGGAAACAUCGAAGCACUUGCCCCAUUUGCCUUCCGAAAUUCUGGUUCCCUGGGCGACUCGGUCCACCGUUGUUAUUCUGGGGGCGAUUAUAAGGUUUAGCCACUUGUUUUCCCCUAUUCUGAUAAGUCGCCCGACUAGGGCCUCCCGAAUUAAAAUUCCCAACUCGGCUAGCCCUCUUGUUCUUCAUAUCUUCCACUUCUCUACAUUUCUCUACCAGCGCUUGGAAACGUUGAAUUCCCAAAGGUAAGACGGAAUCUUGAAUCUCAUACUUCAAUCCGUCUUGGAAACGAUGACACAUGAACGGUUCAUCAAUUUCUUCACGGAAGAACCUGAAAUGCCUCGAUAGUGAUUCAAAUUUAGCAGCAUACUCGCCCACAGUCAGGCUCCCCUGGUGAAGUUUCAGAAAGUCGUCACCCAACUUAGUCCUGGUACUCAUCGGAAAGUAUUUGUCUAAAAACUUUCUUUUGAACGAUUCCCAGUUCACCUCCUCGUGGGCUGCUCCCAUCAACAACCUUGCACUCCUCCACCAGUAUUCAGCAUCCCCUAGCAACAUAUACGUGGCAUAGCUGACCUUCACUCCAGCCUGGCAGUUAAUCAUAUCAAAGAUUUUCUCCACUUCUUGGAUCCAUUGAUCCGCCUUCUCUGAACCCUCAUCCCCCUUGAACUUAGGAGGAUUGUAACGACGGAAGUCUUCCAACCCUCUUGAUUCUGCAGCACGGAUCUCUCUUCCCCUCUUUUCAAGAUCCCGUUGAGUCUUGGCAGCGGUCUGUGCAGCGACAGAAGCAGCCAUGUUGUUCAUAGCCUCCGCCAUUUGGUCAUUCCUAGCGUUGGCUCUCGGAGCGUCAUUCCUUCUGGGCGGCAUGGUUUCCUAUAAGAACCAUCAUCAAGUAGAGUUUUAACACUACUUCAAAUAAUUCUAAACUAACGUCCGACUAACAACACACAAUUAAAUUGGACUUGACAACUCAAGUCACCUAAACCGACACAUGAUCAGAUAACAACUCCUAACUUAUAGGUCGACCUACAAUCUAUAACCAAGGUUCCACAGCUCCCAAAGAAAACUAAACCUAUGCUCUGAUACCACAAUGUAACACCCCGUUUUUCAAAGCGAGGGUAUAUUUUUUUUUUUCUAAAAGUAAUUAAAACGAACAAAGAAUAAAUCAGGAAAUGCUUUUGGAUAAAUAAUUGAGUCAUUAUAAUUUACGCAGCGGAAAAGUUUCUCCAAUUAUAAAUCCAAAACAUUUUUACAUAAACAUCAAAUGGUACAUGGGACCCAUUCAAAGAUGAUAUAAAACUGAUAAUAUUUGUAUAAGUACAGUUUUCCAAAACUAAAAUACUCCAAACCAAAAAGAAGGACCCCUAGUCCCUAUACAUCAUCCUAAUCUGAUCAUCCUACCAAAAACUAUACACCCUGAGUAAUCUCCACGCGCCCCGUGAGAUCCUCCUAACACAACAGCAGUCAAGCGUUCCCAUCUCCAUCCCUGUCCGUAGGGUACGAACCAGUAGGGCCGUCCUGACUCUCAUCUGAGGGCAAAGCCCAGAUUUCCACAAUAGUGUAAAGGGUCACCAACCAGAAAAUAACAGUUAACACAUAGCAAUUAAGUUUUUGAAUGCUCAAAACAACUUUUUAACUAAGCAUGCACCUUAACAGGAUUUUCAAUGUGCGAAAAGUUCAUACAUUACAUUGCCAAUGAAAAUGAAGGUAAAAUGCAGUUCUCGAUCUCCUAAUUAACACAUGGUAAAACAAAACAUGGAUAGAUUCAUGAGCAAUUAAUCAUACAACUAAAAAUGAGGAUUUUCACUGAGCCAAUCGAUUGGGCAAUCGAUUGGGGUGAAGAUUUUUAAUGAAAACAGAAUCCUGGGCUGAAUUCAAUCGAUUGGUAAAUCGAUUGAUUGGUUCCUGAGCCCCUGGUUUCGAGCCAAUCGAUUUCCUAAUCGAUUUGGUGAGGGAUUCUUAAUGAAAACAGAAUCCUGGGCUGAAUUCAAUCGAUUGGUAAAUCGAUUGAUUGGUUCCUGAGCCCCUGACUUAAGGCCUAAUCGAUUGGGCAAUCGAUUUCUUAACUGAUUCCUUUGAAAAUUGUUUUCGAAAUCGAUUGGCUAAUCGAUUUUGUUCAUUUGGCCAAGCCCCUGACUUCCAUCCAAUCGAUUGGGAAAUCGAUUUCCCUGAUCAGUUUUCCAAAAAUUCAUGAAUUAACCUAAGUCAUUCCUAAUCAAGUUCACCACUUAACACUUAGCAAUUUCUACGCGAUUACUACGACACACAAAGGUUCGAUAACCAUCAUACUCACACACAAUACACAACACAUAGCACUUAACACCUUCAUCUCAGUUAUCACGAUAAAUCAAAAUUCGAAUCACUCAAUCAUAAACUCAAAUCAAACAUGACUCGCGUGCCAGGCACCCUAAUGCAAUGCGUAUAUGCCAAAAUGCAUGGACUCGGAAUUCCAAACCAAAACCCUCCUCGAAGGGCCGUAAAUCAUAAUUGUACCGCCUAUCGCAGGCCAAAGUACCAAUUACCGAGGUGCCACCUAUCACGGGUCAGCACGAUUUACUAAAAUGCGUAAAUCAUAAACGUACCACCUAUCACGGGUCAGUACAGUUUACCGAGGUGUCACCUAUCACGGGUCAACACGAUUUACUAAAAGAAAAAGCGGGAAUCGUAAAUGUACCACCUAUCACGGGUCAGUACAGUUACCAUGGUGUCACCUAUCACGGGUCAACACGAUUUACUAAAAGAAAAAGCGGGAAUCGUAAAUGUACCACCUAUCACGGGUCAGUACAGUUUACCAAGGUGUCACCUAUCACGGGUCAACACGAUUUACUAAAAUGUAAAUCGCAAACGUACAACCUAUCACGGGUCCGUACAGUUUACCAAGGUGUCACCUAUCACGGGUCAACACGAUUUACUAAAAUGUAAAUCGCAAACGUACAACCUAUCACGGGUCCGUACAGUUUACCAAGGUGUCACCUAUCACGGGUCGACACAAUUUACCAAAUGAAAUGCAUGAGCAUACACAGACUCCAUUCACAACAAUCGUUAAGCAAAUGCAGAUAUUAAAAGAUUCCCCAUUUUUAAUACCCAUUUAACUUAAACGACUUUCAAACAACAUUAAUUAAAUAAGUCAUUAAGAGAUUCCCCGUUCUUAAUACCGAUUUAUCUUAAUGAUUUUCAAAACAAAACGUUAAGCAAACAGUCAUAUUAAGAGAUUCCCCAUUCUUAAUAUACUUUUGACUUAAACGAUUUUCACACAAAAUAUUCAGUAAACGAGUCAUUAAGAGAUUCCCCAUUCUUAACACUCAUUUACCGGAACGAUUUUCAAAAACGAUCGUUAAGUAACCGGGACAUUAAGAGAUUCCCCAUUCUCAACGCCCAGUUAACUUAAACCUUUUCCUCAAAUGCACAUUAAGUAAACCGAGGUAUUAAAAGAUUCCCCAUUUUUAAUACUCGUUUAACUCUAAUGGUUUUCAAAUUCCACGGAAACAAACUCAAACAUACUCUCACAUUCAAACCAUAAUUCACAACAACCACACCAAUUAACAAACAUCAAGUAUGGACACGCCAAAUACAACGAACACAAAUCAAAGCCAACAUAACACCCAGAUACAUCAAAUUUCAUUUACCCAUAAUCAUACACAAUGACAUUCAAAUUCAUUUACCACGAAACAUUCAUCACUAUAAACAAAACCUAACUCUAAGGUUUUUACCCAUAACGCACUAGUUUCGUUUUUCCCCAAAUCGAUACAUUUAACCCUAACAAAUUCCUUCCCACACAACCACAGAUAAGUCCCUAAUGCAACUAGAAGUUUGGAAGGUGCCCUUACCUCAAUGUUAGCUUUAUCGUGCGUUUCCGGUACCGCGAGUAAUUCCGGUAAAAUCUCCGCUCGCAACGCCGCUUCCAAAUUAGUUCCCUAGCACCGUAGCGUGGUGGUGAGCAACUUUCCCUUCUAUCUCUUCGAGAAAUGAGGUUUGGAUCUAGGAGAAACGGAGGGGUUUGUGUUUGGAUCUCAAAAACCGUUUUUCUUCGUUUUCGAAUCAAAGAGGAAGAGUGGAGUUGCGAAAACCUUGAUCUAACUCUCACCCAACCUUGGGUUACUAGUUUUGAAGAAAAGAAAGCGACGAAAAUGAAAACGGGAGAAAGUAGAAAAAUAGGUCACGGUUAGAGGAAGAAGAUGGAAUUUUUCGUUUUCCUUCCUUUCUUUUUCUUUCCUUUGUUUUUCCUUUCUUCCUUUUUCCUUCCUUCCUUUUAUACUAUUUUCUUUUCCUUUUCCUUCCUUCUAGUUUUCCUUUCUUCUAGUUUUCCUUUCUUUUUCCCUCCAAACAAACAUAAAUAGAUAAUAAAUAUAACUUAACAAAUAUCUCAAAAUACCUAGACAUUUGUUAAAUUACCGUUUCACCCGAAACGCAUUAAAUUCUCCGUAAAGGAUUCACCGCACUUAAUUUAAAUUUAUUUAUCGACGAGAAAUUUUAAUUGGCAUCAAAACAUCUUUUUGAUUAUUAAACUCCAAAAUAUUAUUAACUUUGGCUUAAAAACCUCCGAGCCAAAAUCCAAAAUACACCAAAAACACAUAAAUGGUACUUUAAAAUUAUGGGUCUUACAGCCUACAUCAGGUCUAUGUCAGAUCAGGCUUUCUUUUUAAACAGAGAAGGUCAAGGCUUCUAAAAAAGCCUAUUUAAUUAAAAAGGUUUGGCUAUAGGCCACAUAAUAAACCUUUUACGCCGACCUAUUUAAAUAAAUAUAAAUAAUAUUUUUUUACCACUAUGAUUAUUAUAUUAAAUUUUGAUAUUUGUGUUAUAUAUAUUCAACUUUUAGUAAUUUACACAUAUUAACCUUAUUUAGUUUUUGGCAUAUUUAAAUGUAUUAUUAUAAAAUAUAAUUUAAGCAGGAUGUAUAUAUAGUCACAUUCUUCAAAAUGUGAUGUUAAAUAUCAAAAUAGAACUUAAUUUCAUUGACAUAUUAACUCAUUAAUCUAUUUAAAUAUAUGUUUGAUUACUUAUUCAAAAAUAUUAAAAUGAAAUAAGCAUUUAAGUAGGCUAAGAGACCAUAUCAGACUUCUAUCAAGGUCAGACUAAGGCCUAAAAAGUAAGCCUAUGACAGGACACACGCCAAGCGUAGGGCUUGAAUUUUUUGACAUGUCAGGCUUAUGCUUAGCAAAGCCUAACUCGACCCAGCCUAUUCCCACCCCUACUUGUACUAGUUCCAGUGAAGAGGCCAUAGAGCAAAAGCUUAAGCCAUUAUCCUUUCUCAUUUCAAAGUUAUUAUUUGGGAGGGGAGAAGCUCUCAACCAUGAUUCAUAUGAAAAAAUCUUUUUCUUCAAUCACUUCAAAACCUUCCCCAUCAUUUGUCACAGUUUCAUCACAGUCCCGGAGUUGGUGCCCAAUUCUCCCACAUAAAAAAAUCAGAAAUUGGGUCUGAUGUUUAGGUCUGAAGACUAGGUCUAAAGAUUGCCUCUAAAGAAUGGCUCUAAAACUGAGUCUAAAAACUGCCUCUGAAGAUUGAAUUUAAAGCAUGCCUCUAAAGCUCUUGCAUAUCUCUGAUGUACACAAACUUAGCAUAUACCUAAAGAGUUCAUAUCAAGGUAUAAUUAACUCUGAAGAUAUUAUUCAAAUCAUAAAGUCAAAGUUCACAAUCCGCUGAUCAAAAUGGUGCAACACACUCCAAAUGCUGCCUCUGAUAAGCAGCCUCUAAUGUUGCACCGACUCUGAAGUUUCAACAAGGUGAUUUUCCUAAUGUCACUAACUCUAAGUCAUGCAAUUCUACCUUUGAGUAUCUUUAUUCAAGAAACACGACAUCUAACUCAAACAAGAGAGUCAGUGCCUAUGCUGAAAAGUCAACGACUGAAAUUGAAAUAAUUAAGUAUGAAAAAAAAAAAUUAGCCGACUCCAAAACUUGUGAAUAUCCAAGAACAACCCGAAUCCAUUUCAGCUCAAAUCAAGAAAGAGUAUGAAAGAAGACUCGUGUUUUGAAAGACAAUCUAAAAUAAUAUUUGAUUUAGAUUUAUAAUUGAAGAAAAUAUUUGACCAAGUUGAAAAGAAUAUAUGAUAAAGAUUUGAAGAUGAUAUGAUUCAUAUCUUAUCAACAAAAGAUAUGAAUUAUUUACAAGAACAUUUGAUCAAGAUUUAUCACAAGAAGAUAUGAAUUAUUUAAAAGAAGAUCUGAUCAAGAUUUAUCACAAGAAGAUAUAAAUUAUUUACAGUAAUAUUUUAUCAAAAUUUAUCUACAAGAAGAUAUGAAUUAUUUACAAGAAGAUUUGAUCAAGAUUUAUCUACUAGAAGAUAUGAAUUAUUUACAAGAAGAGUUUAUCAUAAUCUACAAGAAUAUUUGAAUUAUUUACAAGAAGAUAUGAUCAAAAAUUAUUUAGAAAAAGAAACACUCAUAUAUAUUUGGCUUAAUUGCAGUUUUGGUCCCCCUAUUUUAGCUAAAUCGCGAAAGUAGUCCCUCCAUUUUGUUUCUCCCCAGUUUUGGUCCCCCAAACAGAAUUUUGGUCCAAAACUUGAUGAAAUUUCAUUUUUUUAAAGCCGUACUAUAUCAUUUAUGAUCAUAGAUAUCAUAUACAAUUGUUGCAAAUGAGAUCUUGAGGCAUGGUGUGACUUAAAUAAAUACAAAAAAAAAAUGAAAUUUCAUCAAAUUUUGGACCAAAAUUAUGUUUGAGGGACCAAAACUGGGGAGAAAUAAAAUGGGGGGACUACUUUCGCGAUUUAGCUAAAAUAGGGGGGACCAAAACUGCAAUUAAGCCUAUAUAUUUUUAUUAUUUGCAAAGAUAUGAUUCAAAUUUUGCAAAGACGGAUGAAAACCUCUAACUUAUUUUAUAAAUAGAUACACAAGGCUGAAGAACAAAAUAAGAUAACUUACGAGCACAAAAUUUACUAAGUCAUUAGAGUUCAUAAAGUUAAGAUCUAGAGAAACAUUUGCUCAAAAGAUAUAUUUUCUAAGUGUUUUCUAGUGUGAGAGUAAUUGUUACAACCAACUUGUUAGAAGCAAACAAAUUUGUUCCCAACUCUUGUAACCAUGUCUGAAUUUUGUGUUCCUCGAGAAAUUUGUAGAUUUUCAAGUUGUGAUGAGAAAAUUUGGUUUGUAGAAUCAAAGUGUUUGUUUUUCGUAGGUGACAAAUUAUUUUGAGAAUAUUGAUUUGUAGAGUCAGGUGUUGUGUAAUUCAAGUUUUGAAUUAGUGGAUUAAAUCAUGAAAGGACUAAACGUAGCUACUAAAUUGGUGGUGAAUCAGGAUAAAUUAUUGUAUCACUUUAAUUAUGUAAUUUUUGUUUUAUUUUUGUCUCUCAUCACUUAACUCAAUUGCUACUACUUUUAUUUUAAGUCACCAAACUCGAGUCAAUUUUAAAUAAAUUAACAAAAACAAUCAAACUUAGUCAAAACCAAUUCAAUUCUCUUUUCAUAUUUGCAGCUUUAGUAACCUUUGGAUCUGCUGCCUCAAAUUCUCCCAUGAUUGCCCCCAGUUUUUUUGCCAUGAACUCACUACGGAGUUUCAAGGGAAGGUCGCACACUCUUGUCCAGAAUGAGAUCGAACUCGUAUCCAUUUCAGACUACGAUGUUACGAUCAAAACUCCAUGGACCAGCCUUAAUCACAUUUUCUAAAUCUCGUAUUGAAAAAAAAACAAAAGAGAUACAGGUUCUUACCGAGUUCCUGAGUCUCUAUUAGGUUCUUAGGUCUCCAAAAUUCCACAAUCUUAGUUUUGAAAUCUCAGACAUUAUAACUGCUGUUAGUCCACAACUUUCCAACAGGGGAUCUUCUAAAGAAAUCCUCUUCCAUAUGUUCUUCAUCUUCCUCUGUAACCCCAAUCACGCCAUCUUCGAACCUAACAGCUUAAGACUCUUACGAAGACAAAAUUCAAAAUCCUGGAGAGCGCAGGGAGCUUCCAGGAUGAAACCUAGGGUAAGAUCCAAGAAAGGAAGUCUUUUUUAAUGUUGACUCUUGUUCAUUUAUAUAGCUUAUAUUUAAUUGCAAGUGAUAUCUUAAGUUUUUAGACUGUAACUAUCAUAUUGGUUAUUUGUACAUAGCUCUUUAUUUUCUAAUUUAUGGUGCCGUAUUUCAAAUUAGUAAGAAA